This 253-nucleotide ribosomal RNA is filed under the name uncultured bacterium. RNAcentral's name for it is "partial 16S ribosomal RNA". It matches the Rfam family "Bacterial small subunit ribosomal RNA", at positions 524 to 776 of the family's 1533-position model. The record is from RNAcentral.
UACAGAGACCUCAAGCGUUAUCCGGAUUUAUUGGGCGUAAAGCGUCCGCAGGUUUCUUAUUAAGUCUUGUGUUAAAGCCCAGAGCUUAACUCUGGAUCAGCACCAGAUACUGAUAAGAUAGAGGACGGAAGAGGCAUACGGAAUUGCAGGUGUAGUCGUAAUAAGCGUUGAUAUCUGCAAGAACACCAAAAGCGAAGGCAGUAUGCUGGUACGUUCCUGACACUCAUGGACGAAAGCGUGGGGAGCAAACAGG